CUUCCAGCCUUUCGCUCUCAUCUAACCGGACGCAGGACCGACAGCCUCUCCAGGGCCUACCCGGGCCUCGCUUCCUCCGGUGCCAAGCUCCAAGGUCUCCUCACCUCUCGCGGAGGACCAAGCCAGACCGGACGCUCCAGGCCCGAAAGGCAACUCCCCUCCCACCACUCCCUGACUCGCCGGUCUUUCCUCCCAACUGCAGCCGCUGAAAAAGCCAAGUCCUAAGGUCCCCCUCCAUCAGCUUCCGGGCCUCCCUUCACGGCUGGGCCCGAACCCCCAGCCCUGCCCUCUCGCCAUCUCGCUUCCCCGAGUCGCGAGGCCGAGCCCCGGGGCUGGACGGCUUCUUUCCCCGGCUUCGCGCCCGCCCGGCGUGCGGAAGACUCACCACUGAGCGCGGAGGCCUGCAGUGUGGCCCCCGAGGUGCCG
This 426-nucleotide long non-coding RNA is filed under the name Homo sapiens (human). RNAcentral describes it as "non-protein coding lnc-NLRC4-4:2". The record is from RNAcentral. Lineage: Eukaryota; Metazoa; Chordata; Mammalia; Primates; Hominidae.